This 399-nucleotide ribosomal RNA is filed under the name Triticum aestivum (bread wheat). RNAcentral describes it as "partial small subunit ribosomal RNA". The record is from RNAcentral. Lineage: Eukaryota; Viridiplantae; Streptophyta; Magnoliopsida; Poales; Poaceae.
AUGGCACCGGAGAUGCUCCUCGGCAAGACCGACUACGACACCACGGUUGACAUGUGGUCCCUCGGCUGCGUCAUGGCCGAGCUCCUGUCCGGGAAGCCACUCUUCGACGGGGACGACGACGCCCAGCAGCUCCUCGCCAUCUUCCGCGUUCUCGGCGUACCAUUGUUCACGAUCUGGCCAGCCUACGAGUCAUUGCCGCUCGCCGGGAAGCUGGUGACGCCGCCGCAUGCCAUUUCCCGCAACAAGCUCCGUCUGCACUUCCCAGAGGACUGCCUCUCCAAAGAAGGCUUCGAAAUCCUCAAGGGGCUCCUCUCGUGCAACAUCGACAAGAGGUUGUCGGCCACCACCGCGCUCAGGCGACCAUGGUUCGCCAAUGCCGUCGUCGAUGCUUCAGCCUGA